GAGCGCUUGCUGCGCGGCCCUGCUGGUGGAUGGUCCGUAGUUGGCUGGGCGAGAUCCAAUUUGCAAAGUGGCAUUUUGAAAAAUACAUGUCAAGACUUGGCUGACUCAUUGCCUCGAGUCUCCUUGUGUUUUUCUUGGGAAACCUCUGGAAACCCGCAAACUCUUUAGGCCACAAUUAAUGAAGUCAUUUCAUCUAGGUAGUAACUUUGGUGUGGGAUAAUCUAACUCAUUAUUUAAACGUUUUGUAAGUAUGCAACGCCCUAAAUGCCGCGCAAAGCGUAUUAAAGGCACAACCACGAGCUGACAGAGCUAUGCUAUGUAUGUAUUUAUAUUCUGUCUUUAAUUGGAGAUUUCAAAGUGUUUUAGACAGUGGACUGGAUUCCUAUUGUAUGAACUGUUUUGAGACGAGGACUGAAAUCUUACACCAUGCAGAGGACUGUUCUCUCACUUUUUCACGGACUUUGAUGUUCUUGGAUGAAAGGUGCUAUAUAAAUACAAAGCAUGAUUAAUGUCAUAAUUUGAAUAUUUGGCACAAUAAAGGCUGGGUUGUGAUAAGCCUG
Molecule: long non-coding RNA, 560 nt
Organism: Herpailurus yagouaroundi (jaguarundi)
Lineage: Eukaryota; Metazoa; Chordata; Mammalia; Carnivora; Felidae
Exons: 2
Source: RefSeq, a predicted model, not a curated record